AGACGUAUAUUCCUUGCUCAUUAUCAGACAAUCACUUAUUCCCAAACCUCGUGUGGGACUAAUCGUUUUCAUUUACCAUCUCAUGGAAAACCCUUUUCGUUCCGCUUAGCCCUAUCGGGUAUUUUAGUGAUAGGUUCUGUAGGAACUGGACGAUCCUAUUUGGUCAAAUACCUAACGAAAAAUUACGAUUUUUGUUUCAUUAAGGCACGAGGGCUUCUUAUUCCCACUCAAGGCAUACUAAGAAAGCUUGCCGCGACGCGCCCUGCGUCCCGGCAAGAUCCGGCGAGCGACAAGCUUCCGGACAGGACAAGACGACAGCCGCGGCAAGGAGCUUGCCGCGGGAAACCCCCACUUCAUGCCCGCGCUCCAGCUCACCUGCUAAAGUGUCGCUCUGGGACUCUCCCGAGCACACGUGGCAGGAGGCCGUGCAGCUAG
This 435-nucleotide ribosomal RNA is filed under the name Triticum aestivum (bread wheat). Its description in RNAcentral is "partial small subunit ribosomal RNA". The record is from RNAcentral. Lineage: Eukaryota; Viridiplantae; Streptophyta; Magnoliopsida; Poales; Poaceae.